This 507-nucleotide ribosomal RNA is filed under the name uncultured Alphaproteobacteria bacterium. Its description in RNAcentral is "bacterial SSU rRNA". It matches the Rfam family "Bacterial small subunit ribosomal RNA", at positions 8 to 563 of the family's 1533-position model. Lineage: Bacteria; Pseudomonadati; Pseudomonadota; Alphaproteobacteria. The record is from RNAcentral.
AGAGUUUGAUCAUGGCUCAGAACGAACGCUGGCGGCAGGCCUAACACAUGCAAGUCGAGCGCACCUUCGGGUGAGCGGCGGACGGGUGAGUAACGCGUGGGAAUAUGCCCUUCUCUACGGAAUAGCCUCGGGAAACUGAGAGUAAUACCGUAUACGCCCUUCGGGGGAAAGAUUUAUCGGAGAAGGAUUAGCCCGCGUUGGAUUAGGUAGUUGGUGGGGUAAAAGCCUACCAAGCCGACGAUCCAUAGCUGGUUUGAGAGGAUGAUCAGCCACACUGGGACUGAGACACGGCCCAGACUCCUACGGGAGGCAGCAGUGGGGAAUCUUAGACAAUGGGGGAAACCCUGAUCUAGCCAUGCCGCGUGAGUGACGAAGGCCCUAGGGUCGUAAAGCUCUUUCGCCAGGGAAGAUAAUGACUGUACCUGGUAAAGAAACCCCGGCUAACUCCGUGCCAGCAGCCGCGGUAAUACGGAGGGGGUUAGCGUUGUUCGGAAUUACUGGGCGUAA